GAGAGUAUAGCUCAGUGGUAGGGCUCAUGCUUAGCAAGCAUGAGAUCCUGGAUUCAAUCCCUAGUACCUCCA
RNAcentral lists this transfer RNA (72 nucleotides) under Camelus bactrianus (Bactrian camel). It matches the Rfam family "tRNA". Rfam says of the family: Transfer RNA (tRNA) molecules are approximately 80 nucleotides in length. Their secondary structure includes four short double-helical elements and three loops (D, anti-codon, and T loops). Lineage: Eukaryota; Metazoa; Chordata; Mammalia; Artiodactyla; Camelidae. The record is from Rfam by way of RNAcentral. RNAcentral also lists the same sequence under 3 other names.